Molecule: long non-coding RNA, 1387 nt
Organism: Salvelinus namaycush (lake trout)
Lineage: Eukaryota; Metazoa; Chordata; Actinopteri; Salmoniformes; Salmonidae
Exons: 3
Source: RefSeq, a predicted model, not a curated record
CUGAGGUUUUCUCUGUAGCUAAUUAGCUUCUUUUUUUUAAAGUAAAUUGAGGCAAAUAUAUUUAUAAAACUCACCUUGCCUGAGAGAUAAUUAAAGGGAUAUCAAAACGUCACGCCAAGCUAAGCCUACACCAAACACAUACUUAGUUUGAAGUGUUUGUAAAAUUCACUAUGUGAAAAAUGAAUGGUGAAAAAACGAAUCAAACCAUCGAGAAGGAUAAAAUAAUUAUAAUAAUAACCUGAACUUUGUUCAAGGCUUCAUAAUUAUAGCGCAAGAGGCACACUUUUCAAGACCAUCUGCCUUCAGUCCUCGAUAGGGCACAGUGGUUGUUGAAGAAGUAUUUGCAGUAUAUAACGUUCAGGGAAGAAUGACUUCUGAAAUGGACCCCAACACUGCUGGUGUUCAAUACAACGGCUGGAAUUAAGACAACAUCAAUCUGAAUGUGGCUGGAACAGGUGUAACGGGGCUCUACACCUGGGCGUAGCUAUCAAGGUGGCCGGAGCUUUGGCUGCACCGGUGGCUGUUUACAUCAUAGGAUACCUCAUUGGAUAUUACGCCCACAAAUGCUGACCAGCCACUGACCGAAGGACCCUCGUUCAGAGAGGAAGGACCCUCAACGGCUGGAAUGAUGUAUCAAUUAUAUAUGGUUUUUAAAUGACCAAAUAAUGGCUGUAUGAGAGGAUCAAAGAUUAUUGGAGCCACACUUUCAAUAAUAGUCAGGAUUUUUUGUUUCCUUUUUAGAAAUGUUUGACUUACAGUUCAUGGUAUAUGUUCUUCUCAGUAAGUGAUAUUACAGCGCCUUCAGAAAGUAUUCAUACUCCUUAACCUAUUCCACAUUUUGUUGUGUUACAUCCUGAAUUUAAAAUGGAUUACAUUUUUACCACAUAAUGACAAAGUGAAAACAUGUUUUGACAAAAUUGUGCUAAUUUAUUGAAAUACAGAAACAUUUCAUUUAGGUAAGUAUCACACCCCUGAGUCAAUACGUUAGAAUCACCUUUGGCAGCGAUUAAAGCUGUGAGUCUUUCUGGGUAAGUCUCUAAGAGCUUUGAACACCUGGAUUGUACAAUAUUUGCACAUUACUAUUAAAAAAAUUCUUCAAGCUCCCUCAAUUUGCUUGUUGAUCAUUUCUAAAUACACUUUGACAUUAUGGGCUAUUGUGUGUAAGCCAGUGACACAAAAUCUCAAUUUAAUACAUUUUAAAUUCUGGCUAUAACAACAAAAUGUGGAAAAUGUCAAGAGGUGUGAAUACUUUCUGAAGGCACUGUAUUCAUUUCUGUAGUUUUAAGAUUGUACUAUUGAGCUUGUUUUGUAAGCCUAUUCAACUGUACAUCAAGGUCAUUUGGCUUCAAUAUUUCUAUGAAAGGACACAGCAAAUACUAAUAGCAAU